GGUCCCAUAGUUAAAUCGGAUAUAACGGAGCUUUCCUAAAGCUCAGUCAGGGGUUCGAAUCCCUUUGGGACCACCA
This 76-nucleotide transfer RNA is filed under the name Halobacteriovoraceae bacterium. Its description in RNAcentral is "tRNA-Arg". It matches the Rfam family "tRNA". From Rfam's summary of the family: Transfer RNA (tRNA) molecules are approximately 80 nucleotides in length. Their secondary structure includes four short double-helical elements and three loops (D, anti-codon, and T loops). Lineage: Bacteria; Pseudomonadati; Bdellovibrionota; Bacteriovoracia; Bacteriovoracales; Halobacteriovoraceae. The record is from RNAcentral.